RNAcentral lists this ribosomal RNA (274 nucleotides) under uncultured bacterium. RNAcentral describes it as "partial 16S ribosomal RNA". It matches the Rfam family "Bacterial small subunit ribosomal RNA", at positions 523 to 796 of the family's 1533-position model. The record is from RNAcentral.
AUACGGAGGGUGCAAGCGUUAUCCGGAUUCAUUGGGUUUAAAGGGUGCGCAGGCGGAAUGAUAAGUCAGUGGUGAAAUCCUACAGCUUAACUGUAGAACUGCCAUUGAUACUGUCAUUCUUGAGUACACUUGAAGUGGGCGGAAUGUAUCAUGUAGCGGUGAAAUGCAUAGAUAUGAUACAGAACUCCGAUACCGAAGGCAGCUCACUAAAUUGUAACUGGCGCUCAGGCACGAAAGCGUGGGGAGCAAACAGGAUUAGAAACCCCAGUAGUCC